GCCUCACAGGUGGAGGAUUGGUCAGGCCAAAAUAAAAAAAAAAAAAAAAAAAGUGAAACUUUUCCCUGACCAAUCGUCUCAGCUGAACCUCCAGGCUGUGUUUUCAUUAUUAUUUUCUGUCAGUGUGUGAAGCUCUUUCUGCUACAGUGUAUAAGGAACGUUUUGUUUAAAUGAAGAAUGUAUUCAUUAACUCUAUACACAUUUGUCCUAUUCACUUCCUGUUUUACUGCAAAUUAGCUUGUUAUCAUUGUGGCUAGCUGGCUGGCAAACAUAUAUAUGUACAUAUCAUUACGUUUGUGAUUCAGUGUAUUGCUGUGAUCAACAAAAAGAAAAGGGCAAAGUGAAAUAGUGUGUCCAUUGUUUUUUUUUAAUCGCAAUCAAAUUGUGUAAUCUGUAGUGAAUAACAUUUAAAAUGUUCUAGUUACAGCCUGUACCAUAACCAACAGUGACUCUGAAUGUUUUCCUCAGAUGUGACGCAAAUUAAAAUCUUAGUCGUUUUUGCACAGAUCUGUCACAUGAAGGCAAAUAUGCCGCCUAAUAUGUUAUCUGCUUGUAACACAUGUGUAACACCCGUCACACUGACCCACAUGUACAUACAAAGGGACUGCGACAGAAAAGAUGACACACAUGUAGAAUUGUUGAAGAAGUUGAUUGAUGAAGAACCGUCAGACACUUGAUUUGUUGCCAAUUUUGGCUCUGGCAAGUUUGCUCAUCAAGAUAAGUGCAUCCAGCUCUCUUCAUCCUGAGCUGUCCGGUCCUGACAUGGCCUACGUCGGCACAAGGGUGGUUUACCGCUGUAAGGCGCCUAAUUCCUCUCCACCAGUCAUCUAUGAGCUGAUGAAGGAUGGCGAUUUGUUUAACGCACACACUGAUCAUGAGGGAGACCAGCCUCCAUCGUUCUCCCAGAAGGUGAUUGCAUCAUCAGAUGGGUCAUACCACUGCAAAGUGACAGCUGGGGGAAGCACGGCAGUGAGCAACAGCAUCAAGCUGAGUGUUGUCAUUCCAGCAUCAAACACCAGAGUCACCUCGGAGCCCUUCCCCCCGGUGGCAUAUGAGGGGUCCCGUGUCAUCCUGGCGUGUGAUGUCAAAACAGGGUCCCACCUCUCCUACACCUGGUUUUUCAACAGAAAGGAAGUGACACCUUCAACCUCUACUUCCUUCCACCUCACCGGGAACAAGCUUGUGAUGGAGAAAGUGACUCCGGAGCAGGCUGGAGAUUAUUCUUGCAUGGCCUGGUCCAGUGUGCAGAACAUCAGGAGGUUUUCCAGUAGUGCAGAAGUCCAGGUGAUCAUCAAAAUCUACGUUUCGCAACCAAAGAUCUCCUUCACCGUUUUUAAAGAGGGCGCCAGUUACCGUGGCAAUGUGACCUGCUUGUCAUCAAGAGGGAGUCUUCCAGUAAACUUCUCUCUUUUGGUGGAUGGCAAGGAAGAAGGUUCUGUCACAGUAACUGAAUCCCUCACUGCGUGGUUCUCUGUCGCUGUGGUACCGGGUCAGGACAUGGGUGAGGCUCGAUGCCGGGUAAAGACAGAGGUGCAGGAACUGAUGAGUGAGCCUGUAACUCUGGAAGUAGUCCCAGUGGGAGGUGAUGUGAAGGUGGAGGUGGAGUAUCUUUACACAUCUCAUUCCAAACUGGCUGCUGCCAGGCUGAGCUGUCACAUCAGCAGAGGAACUUUCCCUCACAUCUCCUGGCUACUGAACGAUUCUGUCCUCCUGGAUUCCCACCUUCAGCCUGUCCUGCCAUGCUCUGCCCUCAUCUACAACAGACAAACCCUCAUCCUCACUGAGCUCGGCCCAGAGGAGUCGGGGUAUUACCACUGCAGGGCCAGAGACAGCUACGAUGAGUCUGGGCCAUGGGUGGAGAGUGCACCCGAGCUGGUCCAAGUCACAGAGGCAUUGAUGAGCACCUUGGAGGUCAUCCCCAUAGUCUUCUGCUGCUUCCUCCUCCUGAUGCUGGCACUGAGCAUCCCCUGUGUGUACAAGAUGUUUGACUGCAAGAAAGGUGUGUGUGUGUGAGGGAGUAACACUAAAUUUAAUAAUUUUAUAUUAAAUAUGUUUCCACUUCCUUUUUUGCAGCCCAUCUUCACAGUGUUCCUCC
Parambassis ranga (Indian glassy fish) is the source of this 2095-nucleotide long non-coding RNA. The record is from Ensembl. NCBI's taxonomy places the organism in Eukaryota, Metazoa, Chordata, Actinopteri, Ambassidae.